Molecule: transfer RNA, 56 nt
Filed under: Cercopithifilaria johnstoni
Lineage: Eukaryota; Metazoa; Nematoda; Chromadorea; Rhabditida; Onchocercidae
Source: RNAcentral
AAUACAGUAGGAUAAAUAAGUCUAUGAGAUUCAUAUUUUCAAGGUCAGAUGUGUUU